GAUUAGCUAGUUGGCGGGGUAAAGGCCCACCAAGGCGACGAUCCGUAGCUGGUCUGAAGGAUGAUCAGCCACACUGGACUGAGACACGGUCCAGACUCCUACGGGAGGCAGCAGUGGGGAAUAUUGGACAAUGGGCGCAAGCCUGAUCCAGCCAUGCCGCGUGUGUGAAGAAGGCCUUCGGGUUGUAAAGCACUUUUGUUGGGGACGGUACCCAAAGAAUAAGCACCGCUAACUUCGUGCCAGCAGCCGCGGUAAUACGAAGUGCAAGCGUUACUCGGAAUUACUGGGCGUAAGCGUGCGUAGUGGUGGUUUAAGUCAGAUGUGAAGCCCUGGGCUCAACCUGGGAAUGCAUUUGAUACUGGAUACUAGAGUGCGGUAGAGGAGGCGGAAUCCCGGUGUAGCAUGAAAUGCGUAGAGAUCGGAAGGAACACCAGUGGAUCACAGUGAAUUCGC
RNAcentral lists this ribosomal RNA (453 nucleotides) under uncultured Gammaproteobacteria bacterium. RNAcentral's name for it is "bacterial SSU rRNA". It matches the Rfam family "Bacterial small subunit ribosomal RNA", at positions 239 to 725 of the family's 1533-position model. The record is from RNAcentral. Lineage: Bacteria; Pseudomonadati; Pseudomonadota; Gammaproteobacteria.